GUCGGAAGGCUUGGGCGGGGCCCGCGGGGCGAAGCCGCUUCCUUUAUCUUUCUCAAUCUGCGCCUAAAUUCCGUCUGCCUCAGCUGUGCCCUUUUCCGUGACUUCCUCUGCUGCAGUGCCUGUGUUGCUCAGACAAGCCCUCAGGAAGGUGGGGAUGCAGUGACUAGCAACGCCUGGGUCCUAUCAGAACAGUCACCGUAACAGUCAAUGACCUUAAGGGUCACCAGGGUAACUGCCGCCUUUUAUAGACGAGUCUGGAGAGUCUGGUGGUUUGCCCGCCACGCUGCAAAUGGGAGCCAGCAACAGGAGGACACUAUUUUGCCACUAAGCCAAGCUGCUAGCAAGAAAGAGCCUUGCAGCACAGGGGUUCCUGGGUGGCUCUGUCAGUAAAGCGCCCAGCUUAGGCUCAGGUCAUGAUCUCACAGCUAGUGGGUGGCUCGUGGGUUACAGCUCCGGAUCUGGCUGUGUGCUGCCAGCGUAGAACCUCUUUGGAUCCUCUCUGUCCCUCCGAGCUCAUGCCCUCUCUCAAAAAUUAAAAAAAAAAGUUUAAAAAAUGUUUUCAGAACCUUGCAGCACAGCUAGAAUGUAAACUGAUACCAAACAAACCAUUACUUGUCUCCACUGAUGUUUUACAAUGUUGCUUGCUGCGCCGGUUGUCAGUGUGUUAUCUCUAGCUCCGCGUUCACUCUCAUUCCAUGCACUGCAGGAUGGAGCUGGGCCCUCUGAGCGCUCUUCCCCUGCCAGGUGGACCAUUGCAGAGGUGUGCCGGGGAAGAAACCCCCUGGGAGGCAGUGCGGGAGGAAGGGGCUUUGCUGCCCGGCUCCAGUGAGUUCCCUUGACAGCUGCAGAACGAGAGGCCUCCCCGGAGCCCACCUCCCCGCACCGAGGACGGCUUCUUCUAGCUCCAGGUUCCGCGAGCACCCGACUCCGCAGUGCAGGCUGCCAGCACGCUGCUCCAGUUCCUGCCCUAUAGCCGCAAAGGCGCGCCCCUGAACAGCUUUCUGGCACUCCGGAGGGACUGCCAGACGUCCUGCCAGCGCUUCUCCGCCAUUUGGUGAGCUGUAGCUAGGCUAUCUCCAAGCAAGUUGGACCUCAGCCCUGGGGCUACUGCUCCUGCAGCGAUUCUGACACCAGCUGUGUAACACCAGAUCCUGACACCCAGCAAUUCUGUGACAUCGGCUGGGUAUCCCACUGUAACUCACUCUGGCACCAUCCACCUGGAGACGGCAUCAGAUCCACAGGUGGAGGGCUUCAUCCUGCAAGACCCCCUACACUUCAGAUGCCAACCGUCACAACUCAGCUGUGAAGUGUCCUGACAGCCUCUUCCUUCUUACCGGUAACCUCCAUAGCCUGCUCUGUGGCCCCACCUCAUGAACAAAAAUACCUAAGACCCAGUUACUAAGUGGUCCACACAUCUGAAGAUGGCCCUCACUUCCCCUCUCCCCUCCUCAGAAUUAUUCAGUGCAACCCCAAACCUUACAAAAUUCCCUCUCCAGUCUCCUCAUGAGACACAAUGGAGAAAUCUCUAGGGUUCUCUCUUUGCAACAGGUUAAUAAACCAGACCUGGUCUAUUAGGUUUAUCCCUAGUGGGCUUGACUGUUGGGCAUUUUCACCCAUCUCAAGUAUCUUCUCCUCCACUUAAUCUUUGGAUGCAGUUUUUCCCUCCUCCAGCCCCAGAAUACUUUGUGUGUCCUGGUGCUAGAGUUAAUUAGCUAGAGUUAAUGUUAGGACAUUUCCUCUACUAGACUGUAAGGCCCUUUAGAGACUGUGUGGGAUUCCUCUUUGUGUCCGAGUUCUAAUGAGACAAAUGAUGUGCACCUGGCCAGACAAAGAUGGACACAGUCUCCCCUGGCUAAGCUCUCGAGUGUUCAAGAAAGCCCUGAACAAGUGAAGAUUUAUCUUCAACUGACCCUCUCAAAGACAGUUUUCUAUGGACUCAUGUCUUGGCUAGAUUCCAGCUAAUUGGUGUGGGUUUUGUUUGUUUGAAGUUUAUUUGUUUUGACAAAGAGAAAGAGCGUGUGCACACACACACACGCACACAUAUGCACACACGGCACUUGAGCA
Molecule: long non-coding RNA, 2064 nt
Organism: Felis catus (domestic cat)
Lineage: Eukaryota; Metazoa; Chordata; Mammalia; Carnivora; Felidae
Exons: 3
Source: RefSeq, a predicted model, not a curated record